RNAcentral lists this ribosomal RNA (433 nucleotides) under uncultured bacterium. RNAcentral's name for it is "partial 16S ribosomal RNA". It matches the Rfam family "Bacterial small subunit ribosomal RNA", at positions 29 to 507 of the family's 1533-position model. The record is from RNAcentral.
AACGAACGCUGGCGGCAUGCCUAACACAUGCAAGUCGAACGAGACCUUCGGAUCUAGUGGCGCACGGGUGCGUAACGCGUGGGAACCUGCCCUUGGGUUCGGAAUAACUCCCCGAAAGGGGUGCUAAUACCGGAUAAUGUCUUCGGACCAAAGAUUUAUCGCCUUUGGAUGGGCCCGCGUUGGAUUAGCUAGUUGGUAGGGUAAAAGCCUACCAAGGCGACGAUCCAUAGCUGGUCUGAGAGGAUGAUCAGCCACACUGGGACUGAGACACGGCCCAGACUCCUACGGGAGGCAGCAGUGGGGAAUAUUGGACAAUGGGCGAAAGCCUGAUCCAGCAAUGCCGCGUGAGUGAUGAAGGCCUUAGGGUUGUAAAGCUCUUUUACCCGGGAUGAUAAUGACAGUACCGGGAGAAUAAGCUCCGGCUAACUCCGUG